RNAcentral lists this ribosomal RNA (270 nucleotides) under uncultured archaeon. RNAcentral's name for it is "partial 16S ribosomal RNA". It matches the Rfam family "Archaeal small subunit ribosomal RNA", at positions 477 to 747 of the family's 1478-position model. The record is from RNAcentral.
CAGCGGCCCUAGUGGUGACCGUUAUUAUUGGGCCUAAAGCGUCCGUAGCCGGCUCGGUAAAUCUCUGGGUAAAUCGAUGGGCUUAACUCAUCGAAUUCUGGGGAGACUGCUGGGCUUGGGACCGGGAGAGGUCGGAGGUACUCCAGGGGUAGGGGUGAAAUCCUGUAAUCCCUGGGGGACCACCGGUGGCGAAGGCGUCCGACCAGAAUGGGUCCGACGGUAAGGGACGAAGCCCUGGGGCGCAAACCGGAUUAGAUACCCGAGUAGUCC